AUUGAACGCUGGCGGCGGGCCUAACACAUGCCAGUCGAACGGUAACAGGAAGAAGCUUGCUUCUUUGCUGACGAGUGGCGGACGGGCGAGUAAUGUCUGGGAAACUGCCUGAUGGAGGGGGAUAACUACUGGAAACGGUAGCUAAUACCGCAUAACGUCGCAAGACCAAAAAGGGGGACCUUCGGGCCUCUUGCCAUCGGAUGUGCCCAGAUGGGAUUAGCUAGUAGGUGGGGUAACGGCUCACCUAGGCGACGAUCCCUAGCUGGUCUGAGAGGAUGACCAGCCACACUGGAACUGAGACACGGUCCAGACUCCUACGGGAGGCAGCAGUGGGGAAUAUUGCACAAUGGGCGCAAGCCUGAUGCAGCCAUGCCGCGUGUAUGAAGAAGGCCUUCGGGUUGUAAAGUACUUUCAGCGGGGAGGAAGGGAGUAAAGUUAAUACCUUUGCUCAUUGACGUUACCCGCAGAAGAAGCACCGGCUAACUCCGUG
Molecule: ribosomal RNA, 490 nt
Filed under: uncultured bacterium
Lineage: Bacteria
Description: partial 16S ribosomal RNA
Rfam family: Bacterial small subunit ribosomal RNA
Source: RNAcentral